Non-coding RNA from Bolinopsis microptera, 73 nucleotides. The record is from the annotation of a RefSeq genome assembly. Lineage: Eukaryota; Metazoa; Ctenophora; Tentaculata; Lobata; Bolinopsidae.
CCCUUGGUAGCUCAGUUGGCAGAGCGGAGGACUGUAAAUCCUUAGGUCACCAGUUCAAAUCUGGUUCGAGGGA